AGAUUGAACGCUGGCGGCAGGCCUAACACAUGCAAGUCGAGCGGAUGAGAGGAGCUUGCUCCUUGAUUUAGCGGCGGACGGGUGAGUAAUGCCUAGGAAUCUUCCUGGUAGUGGGGGAUAACGUUCCGAAAGGAACGCUAAUACCGCGUACGUCCUACGGGAGAAAGCAGGGGACCUUCGGGCCUUGCGCUAUCAGAUGAGCCUAGGUCGGAUUAGCUAGUUGGUGAGGUAAUGGCUCACCAAGGCGACGAUCCGUAACUGGUCUGAGAGGAUGAUCAGUCACACUGGAACUGAGACACGGUCCAGACUCCUACGGGAGGCAGCAGUGGGGAAUAUUGGACAAUGGGCGAAAGCCUGAUCCAGCCAUGCCGCGUGUGUGAAGAAGGUCUUCGGAUUGUAAAGCACUUUAAGUUGGGAGGAAGAGCAGUAAGUGAAUACCUUGCUGUUUUUGACGGUUUACCGACAGAAUAAGGCACCCGGCUAACUUUUGUGGCCAGCAGCCGCGGUUUAAUACGAAGGGGUGCAAGUCACGUUAAUCGGAAUUACUGGGCGUAAAGCCGCGCCGUAGGCUGGUUCGUUAAGUUGGAUGUGAAAGACCCCCGGGGUCUCAACCUUGGGAACUGCAUCCCAAAACUGGCGAGGCUAUAGAUUACGGUAGAGGGGUUGGUGGAAUUUUCCUGUGUAGCGGUGAAAUGCGUAGAUAUUGGAAGGAACACCCAGUGGCGAAGGCGACCACCUUGGACUGAUACUGACAACUGAGGUGCGAAAGCCUGGGGAGCAAACAGGAUUAGAUACCCUGGUUUGUCCACGCCGUAAACGAUGUCAACUAGCCGUUGGAAUCCCCUGAGAUUUUAGUGGCGCAGCUAACGCAUUAAGUUGACCGCCUGGGGAGUACGGCCGCAAGGUUAAAACUCAAAUGAAUUGACGGGGGCCCGCACAAGCGGUGGAGCAUGUGGUUUAAUUCGAAGCAACGCGAAGAACCUUACCUGGCCUUGACAUGCUGAGAACUUUUCAGAGAUGGAUUGGUGCCUUCGGGAACUCAGACACACGGUGCUGCAUGGCUGUCGUCAGCUCGUGUCGUGAGAUGUUGGGUUAAGUCCCGUAACGAGCGCAA
This 1114-nucleotide ribosomal RNA is filed under the name Ectopseudomonas mendocina. RNAcentral describes it as "bacterial SSU rRNA". It matches the Rfam family "Bacterial small subunit ribosomal RNA", at positions 26 to 1101 of the family's 1533-position model. The record is from RNAcentral. Lineage: Bacteria; Pseudomonadati; Pseudomonadota; Gammaproteobacteria; Pseudomonadales; Pseudomonadaceae.